RNAcentral lists this long non-coding RNA (271 nucleotides) under Trifolium pratense (red clover). Its description in RNAcentral is "long non-coding RNA (TPRA_LNC013348)". Lineage: Eukaryota; Viridiplantae; Streptophyta; Magnoliopsida; Fabales; Fabaceae. The record is from RNAcentral.
AAGCAUCAUAUAAGCUCUGAGUGAAGUUCAGAGGAUGUGAAUUCAGAAGUUCACAAGCGCUCAGAAGAUGUUGGACUUCAGAAGUUACAACCUUCAGAGGAUGAAGUCUUCAGAACUUCUUGUCUGUCUACAAGCUUCAUCAAACUCUGAAGAUCUUUUUGAAAGCUGUGAAGAUUCUCUUUACAAGUCAACUCUUCUACCAAUGAAGAAAAGGACCUCUCAAGUCUGAUCAGUUCAGCUACCUCUGUUCUGUCUGUCCUAACUUGAGAAC